GCACGGCUUUCUGCCCGAAUUAUUUGGACUGGUUUGGAGAUGAUGAUUCUGACUCACAUUCAAGAAAUGCUGAUCGCUCUGUUGUGUCAAAGUUCUUACAAUCACAUCCUGCUGAUUUUUCUACAGGAAAAUUACAGGAAAUGGUUCGUUUGAUGAGGGAAAAACGCUUUCCUGCUGCUUUCAAGUGUUACUAUAACUUCCAUAAAAUUAAUG
This 213-nucleotide unclassified non-coding RNA is filed under the name Hevea brasiliensis (rubber tree). Lineage: Eukaryota; Viridiplantae; Streptophyta; Magnoliopsida; Malpighiales; Euphorbiaceae. The record is from RNAcentral.